CAUUAGUGAAUUGUGAAGGCUGUUGCUGGCCAUAAUGGCAUGUGCACGCCUUUUGCUUUCUUUCCACCUGUGCACUCUUUGUAGGCGCGAGUCUAUGAUUUUACAAACACAAUGUAUAAUAUGUUGGUUGGCUCUAAUACAAUACAACUUUCAACAAUGGAUCUCUUGGUUCUCGCAUCGAUGAAGAACGCAGCGAAAUGCGAUAAGUAAUGUGAAUUGCAGAUCUCAGUGAAUCAUCGAAUCUUUGAACGCACCUUGCGCUCUUUGGUAUUCCAAAGGGCAUGCCUGUUUGAGUGUCAUUAAAUUCUCAAAGCAUUGCUUUGGAUAUGAAGAUUGCUGGCAUAGUCAGCUUCUUUGAAAUGCAUUAGUGGGAUCAUGCUGGUGUGAUAACUAUUAUCACCAAAUCAACAUCCUGCUUAGAACACUCCAUUUGACAUUUGACCU
This 444-nucleotide ribosomal RNA is filed under the name Tricholomopsis decora. RNAcentral's name for it is "eukaryotic LSU rRNA". The stretch from base 146 to 299 matches the Rfam family "5.8S ribosomal RNA". The record is from RNAcentral. Lineage: Eukaryota; Fungi; Basidiomycota; Agaricomycetes; Agaricales.